This 459-nucleotide ribosomal RNA is filed under the name uncultured bacterium. RNAcentral describes it as "partial 16S ribosomal RNA". It matches the Rfam family "Bacterial small subunit ribosomal RNA", at positions 338 to 795 of the family's 1533-position model. The record is from RNAcentral.
CCUACGGGUGGCAGCAGUGAGGAAUAUUGGUCAAUGGCCGAGAGGCUGAACCAGCCAAGUCGCGUGAGGGAAGAAUGUCCUAUGGAUUGUAAACUUCUUUUGUCAGGGAGCAAAGUCACCCACGUGUGGGUGUUGGAGAGUACCUUAAGAAAAAGCAUCGGCUAACUCCGUGCCAGCAGCCGCGGUAAUACGGAGGAUGCGAGCGUUAUCCGGAUUUAUUGGGUUUAAGGGGUGCGUAGGCGGUUUUUAAAGUCAGGGGGAAAAUCGUGGGGUUAAACUCCAACCAGCCGUUGAAACUGAUGAUCUUGAGUGGGCGAGAGGUAUGCGGAAUGCGUGGUGUAGCGGUGAAAUGCAUAGAUAUCACGAAGAACUCCGAUUGCGAAGGCAGCAUACCGGCGCCCGACUGACGCUGAGGCACGAAAGCGUGGGUAUCGAACAGGAUUAGAUACCCCAGUAGUC